This is a long non-coding RNA of Saccoglossus kowalevskii, 1043 nucleotides long. RefSeq lists it as uncharacterized. Lineage: Eukaryota; Metazoa; Hemichordata; Enteropneusta; Harrimaniidae. The record is from RefSeq and is a predicted model, not a curated record.
GUUGAAUAUAAACGUUCGAAGCCUUGGACUCACAGUCUUGCUGAGUUUACUGACGGAACUUGAUGUGCAAUGGAUUUUCAAGCAUUCACAAUGACAAUGUCGGCCAUACAUCGAUGCUGCCAUUGCAAUUUCUCCCUCAAGACUUCUAGUAGAUUAAACUGCAAACAUUGCAAGCCACCCAGAGACUGAAUCCUGGAAUGGUGUGGCAGAUAGACCCAUAUUUUUCAGAAUAUGGUUUUUGUGUUGGCAAGGCAUUUGCAGGUCUAUGGGAAUGAAAUCUUUCCAGGAUAAUAGUUCAAGUGAAGAUCUGAUUUUCCCCUACAGUUAUAGAUUUCCAUGAAAUUUUACAGUCGUAGAUUGUCAAUGUUCUUAGUCAAGUUUUCAAACCCUGGCUGAUACCGCUAUGAUUGUCUAAUUGUCGAGUUUCCUGGAUUUCGACAUCAUUGAACAGAUGACAGACUUGCAAAAGAGAAAGAAACUGGGAUGACAGACUUGCGAAAGGGAAAGAAACUGGGAAACUUGCAAGAAAUUCAGAAAUAGAAGCAGCUAGCAAUCUGUUUGACAGAGCUUUGAUGUAGUUGUGGCAGUUUGACUUUAGACUUUUGAACCUGGUGUACUCUGCGAAUUGUUGAAGAAAUAAACCCUGAUGUGCACAGCACCAUCUUGGCUCUUUCGUGCAAAGGUAGUUUCAGAACUAGUAUUAUAUCAUGAGAAAUUAUUGCAGUGUGGCGUUCAUCCCUUAUAAUGUCGUUAAUAUGAAGAAAGUAGUGAAAUUAACAAGGACAACUAUGACUUGCUGUGUACAAGAUCCUUGAUAAAUGGUAGAAGUUUCAGACUUCAAAUUUGCAGUUUAAAGGAAUUAAACGGGCCUAGAAAGAUAAAAAGUUAUGGCAACGAAAAUUGCGGGCACUUAGCUGAUUGGAACCUCGUAGAAAUUUUUAAAGAAUAUUGCUCAAAAGUUUGCUAGUUAAUUUUAAUAACUAGGUCUGGUUUAUAUACUGUCCUGAUUAAGGAAAGGUUAUUAAAGGAAUGUUGACAGUCAA